This 513-nucleotide ribosomal RNA is filed under the name uncultured Methanofollis sp. RNAcentral describes it as "bacterial SSU rRNA". It matches the Rfam family "Archaeal small subunit ribosomal RNA", at positions 339 to 856 of the family's 1478-position model. The record is from RNAcentral. Lineage: Archaea; Methanobacteriati; Methanobacteriota; Methanomicrobia; Methanomicrobiales; Methanomicrobiaceae.
GCGCGAAAACUUUACAAUGCAGGCAACUGUGAUAAGGGAACCCCGAGUGCCCGUAUGGACGGGCUGUUCAGGUGCUUAAAAACCACCUGGAGAAAGGGCCGGGCAAGACCGGUGCCAGCCGCCGCGGUAAUACCGGCGGCUCGAGUGGUGGCCACUAUUACUGGGCUUAAAGCGUCCGUAGCUUGGUCGUUAAGCCUCUGGGGAAAUCUUCCGGCUCAACCGGAAGGCGUCUCAGGGGAACUGGCGACCUAGGGAUCGGGAGAGGUGAGAGGUACUCUGGGGGUAGGAGUGAAAUCCUGUAAUCCUCAGGGGACCACCUGUGGCGAAGGCGUCUCACCAGAACGACUCCGACAGUGAGGGACGAAAGCUGGGGGAGCAAACCGGAUUAGAUACCCGGGUAGUCCCAGCCGUAAACGAUGCGCGUUAGGUGUAUCGGUGACCACGAGUUACCGAGGUGCCGAAGGGAAACCGUGAAACGCGCCGCCUGGGAAGUACGGUCGCAAGGCUGAAACU